RNAcentral lists this ribosomal RNA (790 nucleotides) under Haplorchis pumilio. Its description in RNAcentral is "partial large subunit ribosomal RNA". It matches the Rfam family "Eukaryotic large subunit ribosomal RNA", at positions 535 to 839 of the family's 3401-position model. The record is from RNAcentral. Lineage: Eukaryota; Metazoa; Platyhelminthes; Trematoda; Opisthorchiida; Heterophyidae.
ACUGUGAUCUCUGUGAAUUUAGCUGGUGAACGUGGUUUGAACUUGGUCAAAUUGGUUGUUAUUUGGGGUCUGCUUAGCUGCAGGUCUCCGCCUAUGGUGGAGAUGCGCGAGGCACUUAUCAGGUGUUGCGCGCCUCAGGUGAAUCGGACCAGUUCGCCAGUGCAUUUUCACAGAGUGUUCACCACGACCGGCAUCGCUGUCCGGCUGGUAUGGUUAAACCGGUCUUGCAUUGUCCUCGUGGCUUUGCUUGGUCGGGAUGGCAGGUAGCUCUUGGGCUUGCUCGCAGUUCGCUGUGGGUUCAGGUCCUUGAGUGUAAACAGCUGACCGUAUCGGUUCUGUGCAGUAUGUCGGAGACGGCGGCUUGUGGUGUGUGCGUGCGUGCCAGUUGGCUGGCGAGUCCGGGUUUGGUUAUUAUGUUGCCUGUGUUGGCAGGCCUAAUGAUAGCUCGGAUUCGUUCGGCUGACGGUUGCGUGCGUGUCACUUUCCAGGGCCAAUAGUCUGUGGUGUUGCGGUAGACUUUCCACCUGACCCGUCUUGAAACACGGACCAAGGAGAGUAACAUGUACGCGAGUCAUUGGGCGUAACGAAACCCAAAGGCGAAGUGAAAGUAAAGGUCUGGCUUGUCUAGACUGAGGUGAGAUCCUGUCGUUUCUCACACGUGGUAUCCCCAAGUAUCGAACGGCAGGCGCAUCACCGGCCCGUCCCAUGGUGUGGUGACACUUCAGUGUUCGUCAUCGGGGCGGAGCAUGAGCGUACAUGUUGAGACCCGAAAGAUGGUGAACUAUGCUUG